CAUUGGGCAUGCUUUACAUGCAGUCGUACGGGAGUUUUUAUCUCAAGUGUGCGGAGGGGUGAGUAACACGUAAGAAUUUGCCUUUAGGAGGGGGACAACCACUGGGAACGGUUGCUAAUACCCAUAUGCUUUCGAGUGAAAUGGUUUUUCCGCCUAAAGAGAAGCUUGCGGCUGAUUAGCUUGUUGGUAAGGUAAUGGCUUACCAAGGCGACGAUCGUUAUCUGGUUUGAUAGGACGAUCACACUCACUGGAACUGAUACACGGUCCACACUCCUACGGGAGGCAGCAAUGGGGAAUUUUCCCCAAUGGGCGAAAGCCUGACGGAACAUUGCCGCGUGAGGGAUGAAUGCCUAUGGGUUGUAAACCUCUUUUUUCAAGGACGAACGGAUUGACAUGUACCUGAAUAAUAAGCAUCGGCUAACUCCUUGCCCUCAGCCGCGGUAAGACUGAGGAUGAAAGUGUUAUCCGGAAUCGCUGGGCGUAAAGCGUCUGUAGGUGGUUUCAUAAUUCAACUGUUAAAUCUUGAGGCUCAACCUCGAAAUCGCAGUCGAAACUAUUAGACUAGAGUAUAGUAGGGGUAAAGGGAAUUUCCAGUGGAGCGGUGAGAUGCGUAUAUAUUGGAAAGAACACCGAUGGCUAAUGCACUUUACUGGUCUAUUACUAACACUGAGAGACCCAAGCUAGGGUAGCACAUGGGAUUAGAUACUCCAGUAGUCCUAGCUGUAAACAAUGGAUACUAGAUGUUGAACAGAUCGACCUGUGCAGUAUUAUAGCUGACGCGUACACGUAUCCCGCCUGGGAAGUAUGCUCGCAUGAGUGAAACUCAUUAGGAAUUGACAG
This 840-nucleotide ribosomal RNA is filed under the name uncultured cyanobacterium. Its description in RNAcentral is "bacterial SSU rRNA". It matches the Rfam family "Bacterial small subunit ribosomal RNA", at positions 34 to 916 of the family's 1533-position model. Lineage: Bacteria; Bacillati; Cyanobacteriota. The record is from RNAcentral.